GGAAUUGUGGCUCAGUGGUAGAGCACUUGUCUGGCAUGUGUGAAGCCCUGGGUUUGAUCCUCAGCACCA
Non-coding RNA from Ictidomys tridecemlineatus (thirteen-lined ground squirrel), 69 nucleotides. Lineage: Eukaryota; Metazoa; Chordata; Mammalia; Rodentia; Sciuridae. The record is from Rfam.